AGGCAGCAGUGGGUUAUAUUGCACAAUGGGCGCAACCACUGAUGCAGCCAUGCCGCGUGUAUGAAAAAGGCCUUCGGGUUGUAAAGUAACUUUCAGCGGGGAGGAAGGGAGUAAGGGUAAUACCUUUGCUCAUUGACGUUACCCGCAGAAGAAAGCACCGGCUAACUCCGGCCAGCAGGCGCGGUAAUACGGAGG
RNAcentral lists this ribosomal RNA (195 nucleotides) under uncultured bacterium. Its description in RNAcentral is "partial 16S ribosomal RNA". It matches the Rfam family "Bacterial small subunit ribosomal RNA", at positions 346 to 531 of the family's 1533-position model. The record is from RNAcentral.